RNAcentral lists this long non-coding RNA (605 nucleotides) under Crocodylus porosus (Australian saltwater crocodile). RNAcentral's name for it is "lncRNA (ENSCPRG00005015431.1)". The record is from RNAcentral. Lineage: Eukaryota; Metazoa; Chordata; Crocodylia; Crocodylidae.
UCUUAACUUAAUCCCAAGAAUCUAACAGGAUUUUGGGGGGAGGUUUCCCCAUGGUUAUACCUCUGGGUGAUGGAAUAAAUGAGCUCGAACACUGCCAAAUAUAGAUUUACCUAACAAAGAAAAUGAGAAUUACACAGCUUCUGUUCACCAGCUGGAAAGUGAGAAUGAAAGGUUACAAAGUAAAAUUGUUAAAUUACAGAAUGAUACUGAAACAUCAUUACUGCCUAGGUUGGAUACAUAUGAAGAAACAGAGUGUACCAACCAAGCCCAAAUGGAAGAAAAGGAAGAGAGAAAUUGUCAGAAUGAAAAUGAAUGGCAAAUGAAACAGACACAGACAGCUACAGCUAUGUUCAAAACCUUUAGAUGUUUCCAAAACCCUAGUCCUACCUCACAUGGCCAAGGUGAUAUUAUUGGAUCUGAAAGUGGCAGUAGUUUACCUUCUCAUAGACUUAGUAGUGAUCAGGAACAGAACCUAGAUGGUGAAUCUCCAUCACCACCAAUGGCAUAUUCUUCAAAUUGUGACAAGCCGUUUCCUGGAAAGGAGAGAAUUGAUGUUUUACUGAGCCAUAUAUAUAGCACUGAAGAAAACAACCCACUGGUGAGUA